Molecule: long non-coding RNA, 520 nt
Filed under: Homo sapiens (human)
Lineage: Eukaryota; Metazoa; Chordata; Mammalia; Primates; Hominidae
Description: HSALNT0052281
Source: RNAcentral
ACAAUUGUCUAAUAAUAUAAAAAAUUUAAGAUACAGUUCAUUGCUUUAUCCUAAAAGUAAAUGAACUGUAGUCUUAAUUCAAAACUGAAUGUUAUUCCUCAAAACAUGAGAAACUGCCUUUUUCUCUCCUUUCCUUUUGUACUGUGAAGAUGUGCACUGGCCCCAGCUACUGUAUUUAGCGAUAACAGAAGUACGUGACUGUUUAAAUGCUGUCAUUUGGAAAUAGCUUACCUUUCUUUCUCCUAAACAAAGAUAGAAUUUUGUCUUUAUGUAUGGAGGAUUAUGGCUGACUGUCAUUUUGACAAUCAACAAAUCCAGAUGGAUACUUGGAAUUGAUAUGGUGAGUUCACAAAUGAAAAAUUAGCCGAAGUUUUUGCAAACAUGUGAAAAACUGGUCCCAUAAAACAUGCAGAGAGAAGUUUGUGCCAGAAAUAACAAACCAAGAGGAACAACUGCUUUAAGGCCUUGGCACCUUUAAGGCAGACUGUGAAGGUCACUUACAAAAUGAUAUUCUUAACCC